This 1160-nucleotide long non-coding RNA is filed under the name Oryctolagus cuniculus (rabbit). RNAcentral describes it as "lncRNA (ENSOCUG00000037522.1)". Lineage: Eukaryota; Metazoa; Chordata; Mammalia; Lagomorpha; Leporidae. The record is from RNAcentral.
UUCAUUUAGCAUGACCGGGUGCUUUCUUUCAAAAUGACCUUACAUGUAGGGCUUCAAUUCCCUACUAAUGAUGUUUGUUUAUUCUUUUCAGUUGGAAGAUCAUUCUUGAUGCAAAAGAUAAAGCCAAACUGAGUGAAGUCACUUUUGUCCUAUGUAAUCUGUUUACAUUAGAACGUCAUCGCCAAUGGAUUCAAGACGCAAGACCCAUUGUGUUCUUUCUCUAUGCAGAGUUUGCUGAUUAAGCAUUUUAUAUAAAACUUCAGAUACUACAAUGCUUCUGGGAGGUUUGUGACAGCCUGUAUCUGUGACCUUAGGAGUUUGUUUUCAAGCCUGGCUACCAGAAUGGACUGUGAACCACUUUCUCCUUGCUGGACAUUUGUUGAACUGAUACUUGCUACAUACAUUGCACCAAGGCCUUGAACCUGACCUUUGAACUCCUGAGAAUCCUUGGCUCUUUUUCUUCCGCAUGCACCUAACUCUGCCAGGCUGGGGGAAUUUCAUACUUUGAAGUCUGGAUUCAGCAACUCUAAGCUUUGUGAAGAAAAUUAAUAAUAAGAAAAUAAAGUUGAAACCCGCAAAUCACCUGCUAAUCAGAAUGGGCUAAAAUGAAGUUUCCUGCAAACACCAGUGUUAAUGCAAGCCUCAGAUGAAUGCCAGGUGGAGACUUUGACCAUGGGAAGUCUAGAACCCAGAUACUCCAACAUGGAAUGUGGCUGUCGUGAGCAGCAGGUUCACUGCUGUGCCAAACAUCUGCCCCGGUGAGUCUACCUUCUUGAAAGAUAUAUUUUAACAGACCCUAGUUCUGUACUGGGAAGCUAAGAAUCAAGGCUGCUCUGGGAAUGGAAAGAUGGCUUGGGCUCAGUCAGCUUUCAUUUAUUAGAUCUCAUUUUUCUCACGGGACCAUAGACUACACUGUUAUAAGAGAACACACUCUUUAAUGUUUGCAACUUAAUUGUAAAUACUGGCUUUGGAGAGAUACUGCAGGUGGAUGUUGAUUUUGUGUUGGGAAUGGCAGUUAUGGGCAGCAUCCCCUCAGCUCCAACUCCUGUGGCAGUACGAGAUGGCACUGAGCCCAAGUGAAAUGAGAGAAUGAGGUUCUGCACAUCUGUCCCCCCUCACCACAGUGGAUUCAUUGCAUAUUAUGUCUUUUAUGGAUAUUU